ACGAGCGGCGGACGGGUGAGUAACGCAUAGGAAUUUACCCGAUAGUGGGGGAUAACCUGGGGAAACCCAGGCUAAUACCGCAUACGUCCUACGGGAGAAAGGGGGCUUUGGCUCCCGCUAUCGGAUGAGCCUAUGCCGGAUUAGCUGGUUGGUGAGGUAAUGGCUCACCAAGGCGACGAUCCGUAGCUGGUCUGAGAGGAUGAUCAGCCACAUCGGGACUGAGACACGGCCCGAACUCCUACGGGAGGCAGCAGUGGGGAAUAUUGGACAAUGGGGGCAACCCUGAUCCAGCCAAGCCGCGUGUGUGAAGAAGGCCUUCGGGUUGUAAAGCACUUUCAGUGAGGAAGAACGCCUGGCGGUUAAUACCCGCCAGGAAAGACAUCACUCACAGAGGAAGCACCGGCUAACUCCGUGCCAGCAGCCGCGGUAAUACGGAGGGUGCAAGCGUUAAUCGGAAUUACUGGGCGUAAAGCGCGCGUAGGUGGCUUGAUAAGCCGGUUGUGAAAGCCCCGGGCUCAACCUGGGAACGGCAUCCGGAACUGUCAAGCUAGAGUGCAGGAGAGGAAGGUAGAAUUCCCGGUGUAGCGGUGAAAUGCGUAGAGAUUGGGAGGAAUACCAGUGGCGAAGGCGGCCUUCUGGACUGACACUGACACUGAGGUGCGAAAGCGUGGGUAGCAAACAGGAUUAGAUACCCUGGUAGUCC
This 703-nucleotide ribosomal RNA is filed under the name uncultured bacterium. Its description in RNAcentral is "bacterial SSU rRNA". It matches the Rfam family "Bacterial small subunit ribosomal RNA", at positions 91 to 796 of the family's 1533-position model. The record is from RNAcentral.